AGUGGGGAAUAUUGGGCAAGGGGCGAAAGCCUGACCCAGCAACGCCGCGUGAGGGAAGAAGGUUUUCGGAUUGUAAACCUCUGUCCUCAGCGAAGAGCAAGAGACGGUAACUGAGGAGGAAGCCCCGGCUAACUACGUGCCAGCAGCCGCGGUAAUACGUAGGGGGCGAGCGUUGUCCGGAAUGAUUGGGCGUAAAGGGCGCGUAGGCGGCCUGUUAAGUCUGGAGUGAAAGUCCUGCCUUCAAGGUGGGAAUUGCUUUGGAUACUGGCGGGCUUGAGUGCAGGAGAGGUUAUCGGAAUUCCCGGUGUAGCGGUGAAAUGCGUAGAGAUCGGGAGGAACACCAGUGGCGAAGGCGGGUAACUGGACUGCAACUGACGCUGAGGCGCGAAAGUGUGGGGAGCAAACAGGAUUAGAUACCCUGGUAGUCCACACGGUAAACGAUGAAUGCUAGGUGUAGGGGGUAUCGACCCCUUCUGUGCCGGAGUAAACACAAUAAGCAUUCCGC
This 505-nucleotide ribosomal RNA is filed under the name uncultured bacterium. RNAcentral's name for it is "bacterial SSU rRNA". It matches the Rfam family "Bacterial small subunit ribosomal RNA", at positions 353 to 872 of the family's 1533-position model. The record is from RNAcentral.